RNAcentral lists this long non-coding RNA (3063 nucleotides) under Sus scrofa (pig). Its description in RNAcentral is "lncRNA (ENSSSCG00045025631.1)". Lineage: Eukaryota; Metazoa; Chordata; Mammalia; Artiodactyla; Suidae. The record is from RNAcentral.
UUUUUUGCUUGAUAAGUCUGGCUAGGGGUUUAUCAAUUUUGUUGAUCUUUUCCAAGAUCCAGCUUGUCAUUUCAUUGAUCUUGUCUAUGGUUUUCUUUGUUUCUAUUUUGUUGAUUUCUGCUCUGAUAUUUAUGAUUUCUUUCCUUCUACUAACUUAAGGUCUUGUCUGCUCUUCACUCUCAAGCUGCUUUAGAUAUAAAGUUAGCUUGUUUAUUUGAGCUUUUUCUUGUUUGCUGAGGUGGGCUUGUAUCGCUAUAAACUUUUCUCUUAGAACAGCUUUUGGUGCAUCCCAUAGGUUUUGGAUGUCGUAUCUUCGUUGUCAUUUGCUUCUAGGUAUUUUUUAAUUUCCUCUUUGAUUUCUUCAGUGAUCCAGUGGUUGUUUAGUAGCAUGUUGUUGAGUCUCCACUUGUUUGUGUUUUUUGCAGUUUUUUUCUUGUUGUUGAUUUCCAGUCGUAUGGCAUUGUGGUCAGAAAAGAUGCUUGAAAUGAUUUCAAUUUUCUUAAAGUUACUGAGGUUGGAUUUGUAGCCCAGGAUAUGGUCAAUGUUAGAGAAUGUUCCAUGUGCACUUCAGAAGAAUGUGUAUUCUGUUUCUUUUGGAUGGAAUGUCCUAUAAAUAUCUAUUAAGUCCAUCUGGUUUAAUGCUUCAUUCAGGGUCUGUGUUUUCUUAUGGAUUUUCUGUCUGGUUGAUCUGUCCAUCGCUGUAAGUGGGGUGUUAAAGUCCCCCACUCUGAUUGUGUUACUGUCAGUUUCUCAUUUUAAGGUUGUUAGCAGUUGCCUUAUAUAUGGUGGUGAAUCUGUGUUGGGUGCGUAAAUAUUUAAAAUUGUUAUAUCUUCUUGGAUUGAUCCUUUGAUCAUUAUGUAAUGAGCUUCUUUGUCCCUGAAAAUAUUCUUCAUUUUAAAGUCUAUUUUGUCUGAUAUGAGUAUUGCUACUCCAGCUUUCUUUUGAUCCCCGUUUGCAUGAAAUAUUUUCUUCCAUCCUCUCACUUUCAAUUUGUAUGUGUCCCUAGAAAUGAAGUGGGUCUCUUGAAGACAGCAUAUAUAUGGGUCUUGUUUAUGUAUCCAUUCAGCCAGUCUAUUUCUUUUGGUUGGGGCGUUUAGUCCAUUAACAGCUAAGGUAAUUAUUGAUAUGUAUGUUCUUAUUGCCAUUUUAUUAAUUACUUUGGAUUUGUUUUUGCUGCUCUUUUUCCUUUCCUUCUUUUCUUGUUCUUUUCUGCCUAGAGAUGUUCCUUUAGUAUUUGUUGUAAGGCUGGUUUAGUGUUGCUGAAAUCUGUCAGCUUUUGCUUAUCUGAGAAGGUUUUGAUUUCUCCUUCAAAUCUGAUCGAGAGCCUUGCUGGGUAGAGUAGUCUUAUUUGGAGGUUUUUUCCCUUUCAUCACAUUGAGUAUAUCAUGCUACUCCCUUCUGGCCUGCAGAGUUUCUAUUGAAAAAUCUACCGAUAGCCUUAUCGGGGUUCCUUUGUAUGUUAUUUGUUUCUUUUCCAUAGCUGCUUUCAAGAUUUUCUCUUUGUCUUUAAUUUUGGUCAGUUUGAUUAGUAUGUGUCUCGGGGUGUUCCUCCUUGGGUUUAUUUUGUAUGGCACUCAUUGUGCCUCCUGGAUUUGAGUGAGUGAUUCCUUCCCCAUGUUAGGGAAGAUUUCAGCUAUUAUCUCUUGGAAUAUUUUUUCUGUCUCCUUCUCACUCUCUUCUCCUUCUGGCCCCCCUAUAAUUCGGAUGUUGGUGCGUUUCACGCUGUCCCAGAGUUCUCUGAGACUCUCUUCAUUUGUUUUCAAUCUUUUUUCUCUUUUCUCUUCUGCAUCCGUAAUUUCCACUAAUCUGUCCUCCACCUCGCUUAUUCGUUCUUCUGCCUCCUGUAUUCUGCUGUUAGCUGCUUCUAGUGAAUUUUAUAUUUCAGUUAUUGUAUUUUGCAUCUCUUCUUGUUUAAGUUUUAUAUCUUGUAUCUCUUUGCUCAGUGUUUCCUGUAAGUUAUCCAUCAUUGCCUCCAGUUUAUUUCCAAUGUCUUGCAUCAUCUUCAGCAUCAACAGUCUAAAGUCUAUUUCCUGGAGGCUGAGAAUCUCCUCAUGGAUUAGCUGUUUUUCUGGGGUUUUUCCUUUCUCCCUCAUCUGAGUUAUAGUUCUCUGUCUUUUCAUUUUUAUAGGUUUUAUGUGUGGUGACCUCUUUACAGAUAAUAGAGUUGCAGCUUCUCUUACUUCUGAUGUCUGCCCCCCUGUGGCUGAAGUCAGUAUGGGGGCUUGGUGUAGGCUUCCUGAUGGGAGGGGCUGAUGCCUGCCCCCUGGUAGGAGGAGCCGAUUCUAAUCCCUCUGGUGGGUGGGGCUUAGUCUCUGGAUGGGAUUAGAGGUAGCUGUGUGCCUGAGGGGUCUUUAGGUAGCCUGUUUACUGAGGGGCAGGGCUGUGAUCCCACCUGGGUUGUUGUUUGCCCUGGGGCUUCUCAGUGGCUGGCUGAUGGGUGGGACCAGAUUUUCCCUAAAUGACCACCUCCAGAGAAAGGCACUGCUGCUGAAUAUUCCAGAGAGCUUUGCUUUCAAUGUCCUUCCCUCACAACCAGCCACUUUCACCCCUGUUUUCCCAGGAUGUCCUCCAAGAACUGCAGUCAGGCUUGACCCAGAUUCCCUUGGAGACUUUGCUUUGCCCUGGGACUCAGUGCAUGUGAAAGUCUGUGUGUGGCUUUUAAGAAUGGGGUCUCUGUUUCCCCCAGUCCCAUGGAGCUCUUGCACACAAGCCCCACUGGCUUUAAAUGCCAGAUGCUCCAGGGCUAUUUCUCCCUGUGCCAGAACCCCACACGUGAGAGUUUGAUGUGUGGCUCAGACCUCUCAGUCCUGUAGGUGAGUCUCUGUGAACCAGUUAGUUUCCAGUCCGUGGAACUUCCCACCCAGGAGGCAUGGGGUUGUUUAUAUCACAAAAUCACCCCUCCUACCUCUUGAUGUGGCCUCCUCUUUUUCUUCUGGAGUAGGGUAUCUUUUUUAAGGUUUCCAUUCCAUUUUGGUGAAGUGAGCUCAGUCUAUAGUUGUGAAUUUUGUUGUUUUUAGUAGAGAAGUUGAGCUCCAGUCCUUCUAUUCUGCCAUCUUAAUCCC